This is a long non-coding RNA of Lutra lutra (Eurasian river otter), 1314 nucleotides long. RefSeq lists it as uncharacterized. The transcript is spliced from 3 exons. The record is from RefSeq and is a predicted model, not a curated record. Lineage: Eukaryota; Metazoa; Chordata; Mammalia; Carnivora; Mustelidae.
UGGAAGACAAGAGGCCAUUUGUUUCCGUACAUCAAUCACCAUGGACCCGAGAUCUCAGGGUAUGUUCAUCAGAAGGGAGGCUGCACGAGCCCUGCUCCUAAAUUCUUGGAGAACACUCAAACAAGUCAGCUAACUGCAAGAGCCCAAUUUAUCAGACUCAAUGGUGGAUAGAGGUGUGAAGAAAAACCCAGAUGUCUUCCAAUGAGUAUGAGAAAUUCAUCACUGGGGAGGACUCCAGGAGGCAAUUCAGCAUCCACCCAAGUUCUAACCCAGACAAGGAGACAUUUCAGUGACCUGUGAGAAAAGAGAGAGCGGGAUGUGGGUAAUUAGCACGACUGCAUGGAACAAGUCACCAUCCUGCAAAGGGAAGCUGAGAGGCUGAGUCAGCUCUGGACAAGAAUAGGAAGAGAGCAGCAGGGCUGUGAGCACAUGUGGGGAGCAGCCACCCGUGACAGAUCGGGGCCUCACCGCUCACAGAGAUGCAGAUGGGGAGAAAGGGAACUAUUGCACCGAACACCUGUCCAGCAAUCUGGAGCCACAGCAAAGGUGCUCUAACAGCCCUGAGGAACAGUGGACACAGCCCAGAUUGUGGACACAGCCAACAAGGGAUGCCACAGUUUAAUUAUGAUCGUGAUUGCAGGCGAUGAGCAGAAAACUCAUUCUCACCUGUCCUUUGCUCACUGCAUGGUAAGCGGAAGUUGUUGCUUCACAGCUGUCAGCAGAUGCCUUUGGAGUUAGACGGAUGGGUUCAAAUUCCAGGUCUGCUGCUGGUUGCCUUUAUGAUUUGUGGUAAACUAUUUAAGUUCUUGGAGCUACAAUUUCCUCACCUGAAAAAUGGGGAUGAUAAUAACGCCUGCUUUACAAGCGGGUUGUAAAGAAGAUCGCAUGGAAGUCGUGUAAGAAAAAUGUCUGUCAUUGCUCUGGAAUAUUGCUGAUUAUUAGAACCCUUGAUCUUGACUUUCCAAGUAAAGGGGGAAAUAUUGUACAGUGAAUAAGAUUAGCUUACUCACUGGGACUAAAUCUUCAACCCCACACUUAAGAUGUCACUUAACCUUCCUGUAUCUAUCAAGUGAGAAUCAUUUUGUUUCACCCCUUCAGAGAUUUGGCGAAUCUUAACCUUAGGUCUAGCUGGACUCCCUUUGCUCUGUAACACCAAGAUGUCUAGCUCCAGAAGAUGGGAGGGACCGCAGAAUUUUCAUCUGGGCUUAGGACUGGUCUGACUCUGUUUCUAAGAUGAAUUCAGAGAUUUUCCAUUGUUGAUGUGAAAUUGAGCUCCUCUUCAAAAGGUCGCAUUAUAAACAUCUGCUACUACUA